GACGAACGCUGGCGGCGUGCUUAACACAUGCAAGUCGAACGAUGAAGAAGAGAAACGCGAACUUCGGUUCAAAUUUCACUUCGGAUUAGUGGCAGACGGGUGAGUAACGCGUGAGCAACCUACCUCUUACAAAGGGAUAGCCUCGGGAAACCGUGAUUAAUACCAUAUGACACAUUCAUAAGGCAUCUUAAGAAUGUUAAAGCUACGGCGGUAAGAGAUGGGCUCGCGUCCCAUUAGCUAGUUGGUGAGGUAACGGCCCACCAAGGCGACGAUGGGUAACCGGCCUGAGGGGGUGAACGGUCACAUUGGAACUGAGACACGGUCCAAACUCCUACGGGAGGCAGCAGUGGGGAAUAUUGCACAAUGGAGGGAACUCUGAUGCAGCGACGCCGCGUGAGCGAUGAAGGAAUUCGUUUCGUAAAGCUCUGUUCUAUGGGAAGAAAAGGACUGUACCAUAGGAGAAAGCCCCGGCUAAAUACGUG
This 482-nucleotide ribosomal RNA is filed under the name uncultured bacterium. RNAcentral's name for it is "partial 16S ribosomal RNA". It matches the Rfam family "Bacterial small subunit ribosomal RNA", at positions 28 to 507 of the family's 1533-position model. The record is from RNAcentral.